UACAGGGGUGGCAAGCGUUGUUCGGAAUUACUGGGCGUAAAGGGCGCGUAGGCGGUUUCGUAAGUCCUGUGUGAAAUCCCCCGGCUCAACUGGGGAACUGCACAGGAAACUGCGAGGCUUGAGUUCGGGAGAGGGAAGCGGAAUUCCGGGUGUAGCGGUGAAAUGCGUAGAUAUCCGGAGGAACACCGGUGGCGAAGGCGGCUUCCUGGACCGACACUGACGCUGAGGCGCGAAAGCCAGGGGAGCAAACGGG
RNAcentral lists this ribosomal RNA (253 nucleotides) under uncultured bacterium. Its description in RNAcentral is "partial 16S ribosomal RNA". It matches the Rfam family "Bacterial small subunit ribosomal RNA", at positions 524 to 776 of the family's 1533-position model. The record is from RNAcentral.